Molecule: RNA transcript, 2421 nt
Organism: Carassius carassius (crucian carp)
Lineage: Eukaryota; Metazoa; Chordata; Actinopteri; Cypriniformes; Cyprinidae
Gene: sfpq
Gene name: splicing factor proline/glutamine-rich
Exons: 12
Source: RefSeq, a predicted model, not a curated record
CCUCCCAGUUCUAUGGUGUUUCACGUAACCAGUGGCCAUUUUACAAAACAAGACUCGGGAGUGCAAGGUAACCAAGCUCCACUGUAGUUUUUGAAUAUAUACCGCUGUUUAACUUUAUCUUUUACUCUCGGAAUAUUUUUAACGGUUUUUCCCAGUCUGCUUGUGUGAAAAUGUCUCGUGACCGGUCCCGUAACCGUGGAGGAUUCCAGCACCGAGGCCGCGGAGGAAUCGGGAUGCGCGGCGCCAUGGGAAACCCAAACUUUCGAAAUCAAAACCAGCAUCCUUAUCAGAACCGAGGAGCCCAUAUGGGUGGCGGGUUUAAGCCGAAUUUGGGAAACCAACCCAUCCAGGCCUCUACGCCACAGAAGCCGCAAGAAUCAAAUCAGAACAAGCCAGCGGUGCAGUCACCUCCGGCGCAAGCCCCUGUCCUGCCCCAGCAGAGCAACAACAAAGGCCCGUCGCCACAGCCGACCGCCGGUCCCGCUCAGCCGAAGAUCCAGUCUCCACCGCCGCAGAAUACCGUGAAGACCCCGGACCUCGGUUCCCCACAGAACCAGCCCAAAAAGAUUCAACCCGCCCAAGGUGUGAUGGGAAAUGGCCAAAAACCGCUUGUUCCCGUGAUGAAAGCCCCCGAGCAGACACCUCCACCACCACAACAACCGAUCACCAAGAGCGAGGACGGCUCUCAGCCUCAGGAAUUGAGAGCAACGCUGUCUUUGCUGCGCAAGCCCGGGGAGAAGACCUACACUCAGCGCUGCCGUCUGUUUAUUGGGAACCUCCCAAACGACAUCACUGAACCUGAUUUCAGGAAAUUGUUUGCAAAGUAUGGCGUGCCCAGUGAGAUUUUCAUCAAUCAAAGCAAAGGGUUUGGGUUUAUCAGACUGGAAUCCCGUGCCUUGGCAGAGAUCGCAAAAGCUGAGCUGGAUGAUAUCCCAAUGAAAGGCAGACCACUUAGAGUUCGUUUUGCCACUCAUUCUGCUGCACUUUCUGUGCGCAACUUGUCUCCAUAUGUGUCCAAUGAGCUGCUGGAAGAAGCCUUCUCUCAGUUUGGGAUGGUGGAGAGGGCUGUAGUUAUCGUAGAUGACCGUGGCCGCUCCACUGGGAAGGGCAUUGUUGAGUUUUCUUCCAAGCCAGCUGCACGGAAGGCUCUUGAUCGGAUCAGUGAUGGAGUGUUCCUUCUCACUUCGGCACCCCGUCCGAUUGUGGUUGAAUUGUUAGAACAAUAUGAUGAUGAGGACGGUUUGCCAGAGAAACUUGCACAGAAGAACCCCAGUUAUCAGAAGGAGCGAGAGCAACCUCCUCGGUUCGCCCGUCCUGGUACCUUUGAGUUUGAAUACUCCCAACGAUGGAAGUCUCUUGAUGAGAUGGAGAAACAACAGAGGCAACAAGUGGAGAAGAACAUUCGUGAGGCCCGAGAGAAGCUGGAAGGAGAGAUGGAAGAUGCUUAUCAUGAGCACCAAGCAAACAUGCUCAGACAGGACCUUCUUAGACGUCAGGAGGAGCUCCGCCGCAUGGAAGAGUUGCACAGUCAGGAGAUGCAGAAGCGUAAAGAGAUGCAGCUCAGGCAAGAAGAGGAACGCCGUAGGAGAGAGGAAGAGAUGAUGCGGCAGAGAGAAAUUGAAGAACAGAUGAGGCGCAAACGUGAGGAGUCUUACAGAAUGGGAGGCUUUAUGGAUAAUAGAGACAGGGAGAUGAGAAUGAAUUCCAGUGGAGGCCUGGCGUUGGCUGAUAUGCCGUUUGGGUCACCUAGCCAGAAGUUCCCAUUGACCGGAAUGAAUUUUGAAGGACACCAGGGAAUGGGGGGAACAACACCUGGGGGCAUGGCGCCCAACGAAAUGGGGCCUCGGGUGAUUGAUGGAGGUUAAGCAGCAUAAUCAACUUUGAAAUAUGGGUCAACCGAGAAACCUGUUCUCAGCAACUGAGCAAUAUGGGCACAAGAUUUUCCUGUGCUGUGGACAAUAAUGUGGAGUCCUGUUGGAGUGUGACGUGGCAGCUUGGGAAAUCACGCUGGAUGCAUCAUGUUUAUAUCCAGUUUUUAAAUAAACUACAUAAAGAUCCUUAUGUCUGGUUUUGGGAAAUAAUUUUGAGAUGAAACCAUUGCAUUUUAGUUGGUACUGCAGAACCUUGACCAUGUAGCUGACUUUGUUUUAGAGUUGCUAAAUAAUAAUUUAAUCGCUUGGAAUGGCACAGUAUUUAAUGUCUAUUCAUUAAACUUGCUGGAAAAACUUUAGAGGUUUAAGAGUUUGUUCUGGUCUACAAAUGCAGACAGACCUCUGUAACCCAGUAGCACCCAGGCUGCUGUCCAGUAUCAAUUAAGGUCAAGGUGCUAUGUUUCUCUUGUUUUAUCACUGUUGUGUCCUAUUGGCUGACAGUUACUUCUGGAAAUCAUUCAGAAAGGAAAAUAAACCUGCAGUCUGAGAA